RNAcentral lists this long non-coding RNA (468 nucleotides) under Phoenix dactylifera (date palm). RNAcentral describes it as "long non-coding RNA (PDAC_LNC015069)". Lineage: Eukaryota; Viridiplantae; Streptophyta; Magnoliopsida; Arecales; Arecaceae. The record is from RNAcentral.
UUUCACUAGUGGAUCUUCUAUUGUUGACAACUUUUGGGAGAAUCUUGGGCAUGUUAAAUUUAGCAUUUACGAUUGAUGAUUCCUUGGUUGGUCUUAGACUUGGAAUGUUUUAACAUGGAUCUCUUAUUUGUUGGAAUGAUGUGGGAGAAAGAAAAGAAAAAAAAAUGAUUAUAGAAUAUUAGGAGGAUUUGAUACUAAAGAUUUCUCCUAUUUCUAUUAAGCCAAUUAUGAUCUCUGGGUAGAAUCAAGAGAAAUUAAUUUCUUUGGGAUAUAAUUAUGGCAUUUUAAUCCAAGGUUGGGAGUUUGGAAUUCUUUUGAAGGAGAUCAAAAGAACUUACUACGUGUGGUAAAAAGAAAGGAUCAAGUUGUAAGAUGCUGUGAUUAUUGUAUGUCAAAAUCUUAUGAGUAGGUACUCCGAGAGGGAGACUAUUUGAGAUCUCAGGGACGAUAUGAUGGAUGUAUAUUUUU